AUUUUGUAGAAAUUCAUUGUUCAGUGACUUUUUUAUUAACUAAUUUCUAUUGGUUUUUUCUUUAAACCCAGUGAGACAUUUUUAUAAAUUACAGGUCUUAGUGCUAAAAUCUGUUCCCCUGCAACUUUUCCCAGGCGAGUCGAUAUUCAUGCGACGACUGGCUUGUUAGAUACGUAGAUACGUGUAUCUUGAGGCCGAUUGGGAAGGUUUUCUGUCAGCAAAAUGGUUAAAUGUCACGUACCCUAUUGUGAUAGUAAGGUCCGAAAUAUUUCUAAGAAAUCGUGCGAGGAUUCAUCGAUUGAAUCAGAAUUCGUUUCUUUCCAUCGUUUUCCAUCCAAUACUAAAUUAAAAAGAAAGUGGCUUAAGUUUCUUGGGCAAGAUUUUUCUAUUGACACCAAAAAUAUAUUUAUUUGUUCGCGUCAUUUUGAUCCAAACUCAUUUAAUCCGUUGAAUGAAACGCGACCACGGUUAAAUGCAGAUGCUAUUCCAUCUAUACGUGUGCCCUACAAGAAUCCGCAUCCAAAUCGGAAAAGAAGGAGUAAAGUGGAAAUAUCCCCGGUGGAAUCGACUACUGACGCGGAAUGUGCUAUCGAUGUGAAUUAUUUUCCUGCUGCACCAACAGAAAGCGAUCCUCUACAGAUACCAGUUUGUUUAUCCUUGAUUGACUCAGUUCAGCUCCUUGAAGCAGAUAACCAGGACCUGCAAUGCCAGUUGCAAGUAAAAACCGCCACCAUUAGCUCACUACAGGCGCAAAAUGGUGAACUAUUAUCUAAGGUAGGGGAACUGAGCAAACAACUUCGGGAUUUGCGAAAAGUACACUAUCUACAGAUGAUCGGAAAAACCGUCUCAUCAUUAUCAUCUACAAACCAUGUUAAGUUAAAGCUCGACCAGAGCAAAGAUACCGACGGAGAAGAAAAAUAUAACAUGAUUUUGUAAAUUGAUAGCAAAUAAAU
Molecule: RNA transcript, 953 nt
Organism: Sabethes cyaneus
Lineage: Eukaryota; Metazoa; Arthropoda; Insecta; Diptera; Culicidae
Exons: 4
Source: RefSeq, a predicted model, not a curated record